This 253-nucleotide ribosomal RNA is filed under the name uncultured bacterium. Its description in RNAcentral is "partial 16S ribosomal RNA". It matches the Rfam family "Bacterial small subunit ribosomal RNA", at positions 524 to 776 of the family's 1533-position model. The record is from RNAcentral.
UACGGGGGGGGCAAGCGUUGUUCGGAAUUACUGGGCGUAAAGGGCUCGUAGGCGGCCAACUAAGUCCGACGUGAAAUCCCAAGGCUUAACCUUGGAACUGCGUCGGAUACUGGAUGGCUUGAAUUCGGGAGAGGGAUGCAGAAUUCCAGGUGUAGCGGUGAAAUGCGUAGAUAUCUGGAGGAAUACCGGUGGCGAAGGCGGCAUCCUGGACCGACAUUGACGCUGAUGAGCGGAAGCUAGGGGAGCAAACGGG